Molecule: ribosomal RNA, 492 nt
Filed under: uncultured bacterium
Lineage: Bacteria
Description: partial 16S ribosomal RNA
Rfam family: Bacterial small subunit ribosomal RNA
Source: RNAcentral
AUUGAACGCUGGCGGCAUGCUUUACACAUGCAAGUCGAACGGUAACAGGCCUUCGGGUGCUGACGAGUGGCGAACGGGUGAGUAAUGCAUCGGAACGUACCCAGAGGUGGGGGAUAACGCAGCGAAAGCUGUGCUAAUACCGCAUGUGAUCUGAGGAUGAAAGCGGGGGACCGAGCAGCAAUGUUUGGCCUCGCGCCUUUGGAGCGGCCGAUGUCGGAUUAGCUAGUUGGUGGGGUAAAGGCCUACCAAGGCGACGAUCCGUAGCUGGUCUGAGAGGACGACCCGGCACACUGGGAACGAGAAACGGGCCAGAAUCCUAAGGGGGGGAGGAGGGGGGAAUUUUGGACAAGUGGGGGAAGCCUGAUCCAGCAAUGCCGGGGGGGGGAAGAAGGCCUUUGGGUUGUAAACCGCUUUUGGCAGGAACGAAACGGUGUCCGCUAAUACCGGGCGCUAAUGACGGUACCUGCAGAAUAAGCACCGGCUAACUACGUG